RNAcentral lists this long non-coding RNA (542 nucleotides) under Monodelphis domestica (gray short-tailed opossum). Its description in RNAcentral is "lncRNA (ENSMODG00000043447.1)". The record is from RNAcentral. Lineage: Eukaryota; Metazoa; Chordata; Mammalia; Didelphimorphia; Didelphidae.
UUAAAGAACAAUGAUAGUUAGACAUGUGUAACAAAGUGGUAUCAUCUUACUCUUGAACUAGGAAAUCAGUUUCUUCAGGUGUAGCUCCAUAUUGGUUGGGCUUCAAGUUUUAGUGCCUUUGUCAGUUCUCCUCUAUUGUAGACGUCUACCAGUAGGGGUCUUAUUCUCUGAAGCUAUCUUUUAUUGGUUUUCAUGUUCAUAUGUCUUUGUUGUCUCUUCACUCCUAAUAACAGAUGUUACCAUAAAUGUUAGUAACUCCAGGGAUCUCCUUAGGCACUAUCCAGCUUUGACCAUCAGUUGGACAGAUGAUGAGACCUCUGUAUCUCCUGAACUUACAAGAUGUUGCAUCAUCACCAAGCACUGUAUCUGGAUCCUUCAUUUACUAAGUGACUCCUGGAUCAGAAAUCUCAUCCUGGGUCUCCACCUAACUAGUGCCAUGACUUCAUGCAAUUACCAGAAAAAUCAGAAAAAUGGUUUUACGGAGAAUGGAGAAAAUGAAGAAAUGAUGAUUUGGAUUGCAUUGCUGAAGUGGGAAUGAAGAG